This 253-nucleotide ribosomal RNA is filed under the name uncultured bacterium. RNAcentral's name for it is "partial 16S ribosomal RNA". It matches the Rfam family "Bacterial small subunit ribosomal RNA", at positions 524 to 776 of the family's 1533-position model. The record is from RNAcentral.
UACGGAGGGCGCAAGCGUUGUUCGGAAUCACUGGGCGUAAAGCGCGUGUAGGCGGCUUGGUAAGUCGGGUGUGAAAUCCCGGGGCCCAACCCCGGAACUGCAUUCGAAACUGCCUCGCUGGAGUCCCGGAGAGGAAGGCGGAAUUCCCGGUGUAGAGGUGAAAUUCGUAGAUAUCGGGAGGAACACCAGUGGCGAAGGCGGCCUUCUGGACGGUGACUGACGCUGAGACGCGAAAGCGUGGGGAGCAAACAGG